This 72-nucleotide transfer RNA is filed under the name Merluccius polli (Benguela hake). It matches the Rfam family "tRNA". From Rfam's summary of the family: Transfer RNA (tRNA) molecules are approximately 80 nucleotides in length. Their secondary structure includes four short double-helical elements and three loops (D, anti-codon, and T loops). The record is from Rfam by way of RNAcentral. Lineage: Eukaryota; Metazoa; Chordata; Actinopteri; Gadiformes; Merlucciidae.
AGCAGAGUGGCGCAGCGGAAGCGUGCAGGGCCCAUAACCCAGCGGGUGAUGGAUCGAAACCAUGCUCUGCUA